AGAGAAAUUAAAUUCAGCCUUUACUCUGACAGUUACAAUUUGAGUUUGUCUAUUUUCACGUGGACAUAGCAGUUUGUGUUGUAGGUGAUACAAAACGUCGCAAAAAUGAAGGUUAGCGCACUUCUCGUCGUUAUGCUUGUGUUUGCCAUGGUGAUUACCGCACCGGAAGUUGUCAGCGCUAAAGCUGCAAAACAGGAACAAAAGGACGAAAAAGCGAACAGCAAUGGAGAUCAGAAAACAGUGGUUGAAAAGCCAGACCCCGGGAAACAAGUGUUUUAUCCAGGAAGAUACUGAUGAAAUAUUCAGUUUGUUAACAGGCAAACAAAACGGACACAAGGACACAUGGACAAUGGAAAAGUGAAAUGGACUUGAAAUUGACUUUUAUGUUACACGGAAAGAGCUCUUUCAAAUAAUAAAAUUGUGGCAAAAGUA
Molecule: long non-coding RNA, 432 nt
Organism: Mercenaria mercenaria
Lineage: Eukaryota; Metazoa; Mollusca; Bivalvia; Venerida; Veneridae
Exons: 4
Source: RefSeq, a predicted model, not a curated record